CAGUAGCCGCGGGAAUACGAGGGGGGCAAGCGUUGUUCGGAAUUAUUGGGCGUAAAGGGUGCGUAGGCGGUUUGGCAAGUUUGGUGUGAAAUCUUCGGGCUCAACUCGAAGUCUGCAUCGAAAACUGCCGGGCUUGAGUAUGGGAGAGGUGAGUGGAAUUUCCGGUGUAGCGGUGAAAUGCGUAGAUAUGUGGAGGAACACCGAUGGCGAAGGCAGCCUCCUGGGCCAAUACUGACGCUCAUGCACGAAAGCGUGGGGAGCAAACAGGAUUAGAUACCCCCGUAGUCCCUGUCUCUUAUAC
This 301-nucleotide ribosomal RNA is filed under the name uncultured bacterium. Its description in RNAcentral is "partial 16S ribosomal RNA". It matches the Rfam family "Bacterial small subunit ribosomal RNA", at positions 509 to 807 of the family's 1533-position model. The record is from RNAcentral.